AGUCGAACGCUUCUUUCCUCCCGAGUGCUUGCACUCAAUUGGAAAGAGGAGUGGCGGACGGGUGAGUAACACGUGGGUAACCUACCCAUCAGAGGGGGAUAACACUUGGAAACAGGUGCUAAUACCGCAUAACAGUUUAUGCCGCAUGGCAUAAGAGUGAAAGGCGCUUUCGGGUGUCGCUGAUGGAUGGACCCGCGGUGCAUUAGCUAGUUGGUGAGGUAACGGCUCACCAAGGCCACGAUGCAUAGCCGACCUGAGAGGGUGAUCGGCCACACUGGGACUGAGACACGGCCCAGACUCCUACGGGAGG
Molecule: ribosomal RNA, 310 nt
Filed under: Enterococcus faecalis
Lineage: Bacteria; Bacillati; Bacillota; Bacilli; Lactobacillales; Enterococcaceae
Description: bacterial SSU rRNA
Rfam family: Bacterial small subunit ribosomal RNA
Source: RNAcentral